UGACGGGGUUACCCAAAGUGUUCAAUUUUGAACUGUGGUAGGUGAGUAAUGUUCCCUACUAGAAAGGAGAGGGCAAGGCUGGUGCCAGCCGCCGCGGUAAAACCAGCUCUUCAAGUGGUCGGGAUAAUUAUUGGGCUUAAAGUGUCCGUAGCCGGUUUAGUAAGUUCCUGGUAAAAUCGGGUAGCUUAACUAUCUAUAUGCUAGGAAUACUACUAUACUAGAGGGCGGGAGAGGUCUGAGGUACUACAGGGGUAGGGGUGAAAUCUUAUAAUCCUUGUUGGACCACCAGUGGCGAAGGCGUCAGACUGGAACGCGCCUGACGGUGAGGGACGAAAGCCAGGGGAGCGAACCGGAUUAGAUACCCGGGUAGUCCUGGCCGUAAACGAUGCAUACUAGGUGAUGGCACGGCCAUGAGCCGUGUCAGUGCCGUAGGGAAACCGUUAAGUGUGCCGCCUGGGAAGUACGGUCGCAAGG
This 474-nucleotide ribosomal RNA is filed under the name uncultured archaeon. RNAcentral describes it as "bacterial SSU rRNA". It matches the Rfam family "Archaeal small subunit ribosomal RNA", at positions 368 to 848 of the family's 1478-position model. The record is from RNAcentral.